GAUGAACGCUGGCGGCGUGCCUAAUACAUGCAAGUCGAGCGAACAGACGAGGAGCUUGCUCCUCUGACGUUAGCGGCGGACGGGUGAGUAACACGUGGAUAACCUACCUAUAAGACUGGGAUAACUUCGGGAAACCGGAGCUAAUACCGGAUAAUAUAUUGAACCGCAUGGUUCAAUAGUGAAAGACGGCUUUGCUGUCACUUAUAGAUGGAUCUGCGCUGCAUUAGCUAGUUGGUAAGGUAACGGCUUACCAAGGCAACGAUGCGUAGCCGACCUGAGAGGGUGAUCGGCCACACUGGAACUGGGACACGGUCCAGACUCCUACGGGAGGCAGCAGUAGGGAAUCUUCCGCAAUGGGCGGAAGCUUGGCGGAGCAGCGCCGCGUGAGUGAUGAAGGUCUUCGGAUCGUAAAACUCUGUUAUUAGGGAAGAACAAAUGUGUAAGUAGCUAUGCACGUCUUGACGGUACCUAAUCAGAAAGCCACGGCUAACUACGUG
This 497-nucleotide ribosomal RNA is filed under the name uncultured bacterium. Its description in RNAcentral is "partial 16S ribosomal RNA". It matches the Rfam family "Bacterial small subunit ribosomal RNA", at positions 28 to 507 of the family's 1533-position model. The record is from RNAcentral.